This 337-nucleotide unclassified non-coding RNA is filed under the name soil metagenome. Its description in RNAcentral is "partial contains 5.8S ribosomal RNA, internal transcribed spacer 2, and large subunit ribosomal RNA". The stretch from base 1 to 120 matches the Rfam family "5.8S ribosomal RNA", at positions 35 to 154 of the family's 154-position model. The record is from RNAcentral.
GAUGAAGAACGCAGCGAAAUGCGAUAAGUAAUGUGAAUUGCAGAAUUCAGUGAAUCAUCGAAUCUUUGAACGCACAUUGCGCCCGCCAGUAUUCUGGCGGGCAUGCCUGUUCGAGCGUCAUUUCAACCAUCAAGCCCCAGGCUUGUGUUGGGGACCUGCGGCUGCCGCAGGCCCUGAAAACCAGUGGCGGGCUCGCUGUCACACCGGGCGUAGUAGAUUUUAUCUCGCUCAGGGCGUGCUGCGGGUUCCGGCCGUUAAAAAGCCUUUUUUACCCAAGGUUGACCUCGGAUCAGGUAGGAAGACCCGCUGAACUUAAGCAUAUCAAUAAGCGGAGGAA